This 488-nucleotide ribosomal RNA is filed under the name uncultured bacterium. RNAcentral's name for it is "partial 16S ribosomal RNA". It matches the Rfam family "Bacterial small subunit ribosomal RNA", at positions 30 to 507 of the family's 1533-position model. The record is from RNAcentral.
AUUGAACGCUGGCGGCAGGCCUAACACAUGCAAGUCGAACGGUAGCACAGAGAGCUUGCUCUCGGGUGACGAGUGGCGGACGGGUGAGUAAUGUCUGGGAAACUGCCCGAUGGAGGGGGAUAACUACUGGAAACGGUAGCUAAUACCUCAUAAUGUCGCAAGACCAAAGAGGGGGACCUUCGGGCCUCUUGCCAUCGGAUGUGCCCAGAUGGGAUUAGCUUGUUGGUGAGGUAAUGGCCCACCAAGGCGACGAUCCCUAGCUGGUCUGAGAGGAUGACCAGCCACACUGGAACUGAGACACGGUCCAGACUCCUACGGGAGGCAGCAGUGGGGAAUAUUGCACAAUGGGCGCAAGCCUGAUGCAGCCAUGCCGCGUGUGUGAAGAAGGCCUUCGGGUUGUAAAGCACUUUCAGCGGGGAGGAAGGCAAUGCGGUUAAUAACCGUGUUGAUUGACGUUACCCGCAGAAGAAGCACCGGCUAACUCCGUG